AUUGCUUCUCAGCCUUUUGGCUAAGAUCAAGUGUAGUGUCUUUGACAGUGCUGCACUUGAUUGGAGAAGCGAUCGCUGGCCGGAGGGCGCCUGGGAAACUGUGCUAUUUAUUUUUUGUUUAAAAUCAUUGUUGUAUUGUUUCACUAAUGUUUUUCCUUGCCCUGGGUUAGGUGGUAGUUUAUGCUGGUAACAGGUAUCACCAGCCAGCUUCAGUCCAUACCGC
Oncorhynchus tshawytscha (Chinook salmon) is the source of this 223-nucleotide small nuclear RNA. Its record names the gene U2. It matches the Rfam family "U2 spliceosomal RNA". Rfam says of the family: U2 is a small nuclear RNA (snRNA) component of the spliceosome (involved in pre-mRNA splicing). Complementary binding between U2 snRNA (in an area lying towards the 5' end but 3' to hairpin I) and the branchpoint sequence (BPS) of the intron results the bulging out of an unpaired adenosine, on the BPS, which initiates a nucleophilic attack at the intronic 5' splice site, thus starting the first of two transesterification reactions that mediate splicing. The record is from Ensembl. Lineage: Eukaryota; Metazoa; Chordata; Actinopteri; Salmoniformes; Salmonidae.